Molecule: ribosomal RNA, 492 nt
Filed under: uncultured bacterium
Lineage: Bacteria
Description: partial 16S ribosomal RNA
Rfam family: Bacterial small subunit ribosomal RNA
Source: RNAcentral
AGUGAACGCUGGCGGUAGGCCUAACACAUGCAAGUCGAACGGCAGCACAGUAAUUUCUUGCUCUUACGGCUGUCGAGUGGCGGACGGGUGAGGAAUACAUCGGAAUCUACUUUUUCUUUCGUCCUAACGUAGGUUAACUUACUCUAAUACCGCAUACUACCUUCGGGUGUAAGCUGGGGAUCUUCGGCCCUUGCGCGAUUGUAUGAGCCGAUGUCGGAUUAGCUAGUUGGCGGGGUAAAGGCCCACCAAGGCGACGAUCCGUAGCUGGUCUGAGAGGAUGAUCAGCGACACUGGAAGUGAGAAACGGUACAGACUACUACGGGAGGCAGCAGUGGGGAAUAUUGGACAAUGGGCGAAAGCAUGAUACAGCAAGACCGCGUGGGUGAAGAAGGGCUUCGGGUUGUAAAGCACUUUAGGUGGGAAAGAAAAGCAGCAGGUUAAUACCCAGCUGUUAUGACGGUACCAAAAGAAUAAGCACCGGCUAACUUCGUG